AGAGUUUGAUCAUGGCUCAGGAUGAACGCUAGCUACAGGCUUAACACAUGCAAGUCGAGGGGCAUCAUGGAGUUUGCUUGCAAACUCUGAUGGCGACCGGCGCACGGGUGAGUAACGCGUAUCCAACCUUCCCUAUACUAGAGAAUAGCCCGGCGAAAGUCGGAUUAAUACUCUAUGUUGUAUUUAGAGGACAUCUGAAGAAUACCAAAGGUUUACCGGUAUAGGAUGGGGAUGCGUCUGAUUAGGUUGUUGGCGGGGUAACGGCCCACCAAGCCGACGAUCAGUAGGGGUUCUUAGAGGAAGGUCCCCCACAUUGGAACUGAGACACGGUCCAAACUCCUACGGGAGGCAGCAGUGAGGAAUAUUGGUCAAUGGGCGAGAGCCUGAACCAGCCAAGUAGCGUGCAGGAUGACGGCCCUAUGGGUUGUAAACUGCUUUUAUGCGGGGAUAAAGUUCACUACGUGUAGUGUUUUGUAGGUACCGCAUGAAUAAGGACCGGCUAAUUCCGUGCCAGCAGCCGCGGUAAUACGGAAGGUCCGGGCGUUAUCCGGAUUUAUUGGGUUUAAAGAGAGCGCAGGCCGGAGGUCAAGCGUGACGUGAAAUGUAGCCGCUCAACGGCUGAACUGCGUCGCGAACUGGCUUUCUUGAGUGAGUUCGAUGUGGGCGGAAUUCGUGGUGUAGCGGUGAAAUGCUUAGAUAUCACGAAGAACUCCGAUUGCGAAGGCAGCCCACAAGGCCUUUACUGACGCUAAAGCUCGAAGGUGCGGGUAUCGAACAGGAUUAGAUACCCUGGUAGUCCGCACGGUAAACGAUGGAUGCCCGCUGUUUGCGAUAUACUGUGAGCGGCCAAGAGAAAUCGUUAAGCAUCCCACCUGGGGAGUACGCCGGCAACGGUGAAACUCAAAGGAAUUGACGGGGGCCCGCACAAGCGGAGGAACAUGUGGUUUAAUUCGAUGAUACGCGAGGAACCUUACCCGGGCUUGAACUGCCGGCGAACGAUACAGAGAUGUUGAGGCCCUUCGGGGCGCCGGUGGAGGUGCUGCAUGGUUGUCGUCAGCUCGUGCCGUGAGGUGUUGGCUUAAGUGCCAUAACGAGCGCAACCCCUAUCCUAUGUUACCAUCAUUGAGUUGGGGACUCAUAGGAGACUGCCAGGGACAACCUGGAGGAAGGCGGGGAUGACGUCAAGUCAUCAUGCCCCUUAUGUCUUGGGCUACACACGUACUACAAUGGUCGGCAACAGAGGGCAGCGAAGCCGCGAGGCGGAGCGAACCCCAAAAACCCGAUCCCAGUUCGGAUCGCAGGCUGCAACCCGCCUGCGUGAAGUCGGAAUCGCUAGUAAUCGCAGGUCAGCAUACUGCGGUGAAUACGUUCCCGGGCCUUGUACACACCGCCCGUCACACCACGAAAGUUGGUAACACCCAAAGCCGGUGGGGUAACCGUAAGGAGCCAGCCGUCUAAGGUGGGGCCGAUGAUUGGGGUGAAGUCGUAACAAGGUAGCCGUA
Molecule: ribosomal RNA, 1502 nt
Filed under: uncultured rumen bacterium
Lineage: Bacteria
Description: bacterial SSU rRNA
Rfam family: Bacterial small subunit ribosomal RNA
Source: RNAcentral